RNAcentral lists this non-coding RNA (48 nucleotides) under Schistosoma curassoni. Lineage: Eukaryota; Metazoa; Platyhelminthes; Trematoda; Strigeidida; Schistosomatidae. The record is from RNAcentral.
AUUCAACCUACGAGUCCCAAAUGGGACGAAACGCGCGUCAAACUAGAU